UAAGGCUGAGCUGUGAUGGGGAGAAGACAUUGUGUCUUCGAGUCGUUGAUUUCACACUGCCGAGAAAAGCCUCUAGAUAGAAAAUAGGUGCCCGUACCGCAAACCGACACAGGUAGUCAAGAUGAGAAUUCUAAGGUGAGCGAGCGAACUCUCGUUAAGGAACUCGGCAAAAUGACCCCGUAACUUCGGGAGAAGGGGUGCUCUUUAGGGUUAACGCCCAGAAGAGCCGCAGUGAAUAGGCCCAAGCGACUGUUUAUCAAAAACACAGGUCUCUGCUAAACCGUAAGGUGAUGUAUAGGGGCUGACGCCUGCCCGGUGCUGGAAGGUUAAGAGGAGUGGUUAGCUUCUGCGAAGCUACGAAUCGAAGCCCCAGUAAACGGCGGCCGUAACUAUAACGGUCCUAAGGUAGCGAAAUUCCUUGUCGGGUAAGUUCCGACCCGCACGAAAGGCGUAACGAUUUGGGCACUGUCUCAACGAGAGACUCGGUGAAAUCAUAGUACCUGUGAAGAUGCAGGUUACCCGCGACAGGACGGAAAGACCCCGUGGAGCUUUACUGUAGCCUGAUAUUGAAAUUCGGCACAGCUUGUACAGGAUAGGUAGGAGCCUUUGAAACGUGAGCGCUAGCUUACGUGGAGGCGCUGGUGGGAUACUACCCUA
This 657-nucleotide ribosomal RNA is filed under the name Staphylococcus aureus. Its description in RNAcentral is "partial 23S ribosomal RNA". It matches the Rfam family "Bacterial large subunit ribosomal RNA", at positions 1551 to 2207 of the family's 2925-position model. The record is from RNAcentral. Lineage: Bacteria; Bacillati; Bacillota; Bacilli; Caryophanales; Staphylococcaceae.